RNAcentral lists this ribosomal RNA (541 nucleotides) under uncultured bacterium. Its description in RNAcentral is "bacterial SSU rRNA". It matches the Rfam family "Bacterial small subunit ribosomal RNA", at positions 772 to 1308 of the family's 1533-position model. The record is from RNAcentral.
ACUAAAUAGAUACCCAGGUAGUCCACGCCCUAAACGAUGUCUACUAGUUGUUGGUGGAGUAAAAUCCAUGAGUAAACGCAGCUAAACGCGUGAAGUAGACCGCCUGGGGAGUACGGUCGCAAGAUUAAAAACUCAAAGGAAUUGACGGGGGCCCGCACAAGCGGUGGAUUAUGUGGAUUAAAUUCGCUGCGACGCGAAAAACCUUACCUGGCCUUGACAUGCCACUAACGAAGCAGAGAUGCAUUAGGUGCCCGUAAGGGAAAGUGGACACAGGUGCUGCAUGGCUGUCGUCAGCUCGUGUCGUGAGAUGUUGGGUUAAGUCCCGCAACGAGCGCAACCCUCGCCAUUAAUUGCCAUCAUUUAGUUGGGCACUUUAAUGGGACUGCCGGUGACAAACCGGAGGAAGGUGGGGAUGACGUCAAGUCCUCAUGGCCCUUAUGGCCAGGGCUUCACACGUAAUACAAUGGUCGGUACAGAGAGUUGCCAACCCGCGAGGGGAGCUAAUCUCAGAAAGCCGAUCGUAGUCCGGAUUGUUCUCUGC